GAUGAACGCUGGCGGUAUGCUUAACACAUGCAAGUCGAACGGACUCUUCGGAGUUAGUGGCGGACGGGUGAGUAACGCGUGAGAAUCUGGCUUUGGGUUCGGGACAACCACUGGAAACGGUGGCUAAUACCGGAUGUGCCGAGAGGUAAAAGAGAAAUUGCCUGAAGAUGAGCUCGCGUCUGAUUAGCUAGUUGGUGAGGUAAAGGCUCACCAAGGCAGCGAUCAGUAGCUGGUCUGAGAGGAUGACCAGCCACACUGGGACUGAGACACGGCCCAGACUCCUACGGGAGGCAGAAGUGGGGAAUUUUCCGCAAUGGGCGAAAGCCUGACGGAGCAAUACCGCGUGAGGGAAGAAGGCUCUUGGGUUGUAAACCUCUUUUCUUAGGGAAGAACAAAAUGACGGUACCUAAGGAAUCAGCAUCGGCUAACUCCGUG
This 435-nucleotide ribosomal RNA is filed under the name uncultured bacterium. RNAcentral describes it as "partial 16S ribosomal RNA". It matches the Rfam family "Bacterial small subunit ribosomal RNA", at positions 28 to 507 of the family's 1533-position model. The record is from RNAcentral.